Molecule: ribosomal RNA, 253 nt
Filed under: uncultured bacterium
Lineage: Bacteria
Description: partial 16S ribosomal RNA
Rfam family: Bacterial small subunit ribosomal RNA
Source: RNAcentral
UACGGAGGGUGCAAGCGUUAUCCGGAAUCACUGGGUUUAAAGGGUGCGUAGGCGUCUUGAUAAGUCAGGGGUGAAAGCUUCCCGCUCAACGGGAGAACUGCCUUUGAUACUGUCAGGCUCGAAUUGGGUUGAGGCAGGCGGAAUGUGGCAUGUAGCGGUGAAAUGCUUAGAUAUGCCAUAGAACACCGAUUGCGAAGGCAGCCUGCCAAGCCUUGAUUGACACUGAGGCACGAAAGCGUGGGGAGCGAACAGG